CGGAGUAUAGCUCAGUAGGUAGAGCGCACGACUGAUAAUCGUGAGGUCGAAAGUUCGACUCUUUCUACUCCGA
This 73-nucleotide transfer RNA is filed under the name Siphoviridae sp. cta6m1. RNAcentral describes it as "tRNA-Ile". It matches the Rfam family "tRNA". Rfam says of the family: Transfer RNA (tRNA) molecules are approximately 80 nucleotides in length. RNAcentral also lists the same sequence under 1 other name. The record is from RNAcentral. Lineage: Duplodnaviria; Heunggongvirae; Uroviricota; Caudoviricetes.